Molecule: unclassified non-coding RNA, 3039 nt
Filed under: Dimorphilus gyrociliatus
Lineage: Eukaryota; Metazoa; Annelida; Polychaeta; Dinophilidae
Description: dAGKc domain-containing protein
Source: RNAcentral
AGUAAUGGCGCUGGCUGUAAACAACGAAGUCGUUUUAGAAAAUAUUUUUACUAUUAAUCGGAUCUGUUAUAAUGUGUGCCUUGGCGAAACACAUUUAGAAUGGUUUGAAACAAAUGAAGGAAUAUUCGAAAACGGAGAUCUGCAUCAUUCGAAAAAAUCUGUUCCAAUAGAACAAAUUCUCUGCAUAAGGGAAGAAUGUAAAGGCAGCGAAAGAAAUUGUUUUUCUGGUUUGCAUUCUAGAUCCUACGUAAGUUGAUAGUUGUUGAAUGUUAACAUAAGUAGAAAUUUUCAUUCGCAAACCUAUAACAGUUGCUGUCUGGCUAUCAUUCACUGGUAAUUCAAGCUUAAUCUAAAACAAAUCAUUUAUAAAUUUCUAUAAAACCCUUACUCUCAGUACCUUAGCUCUCUUUCUUUACAUUUGUAACAUAUAUUAAAAAUUAAAUAACUAGCUGUUCUUUAGUAUUUUAUUUUCAUUUCUUGUAGAAAUCUUUCUUAAAGAGUUAAAAGAGAAAAAAGAAAAUCGUUUUAAGAACAUUGAUUUUGAGAUAUUUUAAAAAAUUCCACAGCUUUUCAAAAUAUUUUCAUGUACCAGACUUCAUUUUAAGAGUAUUAUAAUAAAGUUAAUUUAUCUUGUUUUAUUUGUAUACUCUAUUAUUUCUAAAAUUUGAACUGUCCUAGUUUGAACAAUUUCGAUUGUAAUGCCCCCUAUACUAUUAUUAUUUUUCAUAUUUUAUUAUUAUUAUCUCAAUGUUACUAUUAUAGAGCUAUUUUCCAACUUAAAUAUAAUAUGAUUGGUUUUUCAUUCAUGUUUUUGGAGUAUACAGUUCAAAAUCAGUCAAUGAAUUAGACAGCAAAUGUUAAAAUUUCCUUACAGAGUCAAACAGUCGUACCCUGCUUAUCGGCUGAAAUUUGGUACAUGCAUAAGAAAAAGGCUGAUAGAUGGCGACUAAAGCGUCUUGUUAUUACAUCUCCACAUGAUACAAUCGUUUCAAAAUGGUUACAUUUUGGACAAGAAAUUUUAAGAAAGCAUGUUAUUAAACGCCCAAAGAGAUUAUUAAUUUUUAUUAAUCCGAUUAGCGGUAGUAAGUCUGGAGUAAGAAAAUUCAGAAAAUGUGUUGAACCAGUUUUUAGGAUGGCCAAUAUCGAAACAGUUGUUGUAAGAACCAAACACAAAAAUCAUUGCAGAGAUAUCUUAAAGAACCAAAAUCUGUCUCUCUAUGAUGGAAUUUGUUUAGUCGGUGGAGAUGGUCUCUAUUCUGAAGCCAUACAUGGUUUACUACCAGAUUCAUCACUUCCUAUCUCAAUUAUUCCGUGUGGUAGUACAAAUGCUGUAGCCUGCUCUAUUUGUGGACCUAAAGUCGAUGCAAUAAGUGCCGCUCUUCAGGUUGUAAGAGGCUGCCAAAUAUCAUUAGACGUAUCAAAUAUAUAUGCAGAAGAUCGACUAAUAGCUCAUCAUACUUGUAUGCUUUCUGUUGGAUACUUUGGGGAUCUUUUGGCAAGAGCUGAGCCUUGGAGAAGAAUUCUAGGAAAACGUCGCUACGACGCAGCUGGAUUUAGAACAUUGUUAUCUAUGAGAAGUACCCGUGUUCGAAUUACCUAUAAAAAGAUACCUGAUGUGGUGGAUUCUGUGUGCCACGAAAACUGUCUUCGUUGCAGUCGGGAAGAUGAUAAUUCAAGUUUAGAAGAACGUCGCAUUGAAAGAAAUGUUGCCGUUUUCAGUAUUUUUACAAUUUCAUGCAGGUGUCCCAUGUCUACGACUGGAGGAAGUCCUUACAGUCAUUUGGGAGAUGGUUGUGCAGUUAUCUUAAUCGUUAAUGAGUGCUCCAGAUUUCAAUUCUUGAGAUUUCUAAUAGCUCUAGCAAAAGAUAGCACGAACGCAUUAAAGUUGCCAUAUGUUGAAUCCUUUAGAACAACUGAUGUAAAAGUUGAAGUGUUAGCUGCGUCAAUGGACACGCCAAAUUGGAAUUGCGAUGGGGAAGUCGUACGUGAAAGAUCUCUUCAUGUUAAAAUGGAGAGGAAAGCAAUAAAUGUCUUUGCCAACGGUGUUGAAAAAGUUGAAAAGUCUAACAAGAAAUGUUGUAGUCUAUGCACGUCUCGAGCAGAUGAUGAUUUUUGAUUUUUAAUCUGUUUCCACAUAAUUGGAAACAAGAAAAAAGUUCACUUUUUGCAAUUUCGUCAUCGAACUGAUAUCUUUUAUAAAGAGAAAAGAAAAUAAUAAUAAUCUCAGAAAUAUUUUAUCAACUGCAUCUGGUCUCAAUUUUUUUUUAGUGACAUAUUUUUUUUUUUAACAAUCAAAUCAAGCAAUGCAAUGCACAUUCUAAUCUAUGUAUAUAUAUAUAUAUAUAAAUUGCAGAUUUUCUCUUUGUUAAUUAUAUCCAUCACUUUUAGAUUAGGAUACCAAUUCCUAAUUAAUUUAAUUAAGAACUGCGUGAUAAGUUAUUAAUGUAUAUUUAUUAUACCAAACAUAAGAAAAUUUCCUAUGUUUGUUCGUUCAAAAGAGUUUUUAAUACAUUUCUGUCAGAAUAAAAUAUGUUCAAUUUUUAUUUGUGUUACUUUCCUUGUAUUUUCUUUUUAGUUUUUUAGUAUUAUAUUUUAUUUUUAUCUUUUUAUGACUGAAAAAUGUCAAAAAACUAUAUUUUCUUGUCAAUAGAGCAAAUAUGAAAGGUAGAUAACUGAUAAACAAACAUUAAAAUAUACUUUUAAAAUUGUAAUAAGAGGUUAUAUAUAGAAUGAAUUUAUCAACUUUUGCGCAACAAUUAUAUGUAAAUGUUUUUCGUGCGUGCUAAAUUUGUCUUUUUUUUUGUCUAUUUACAUGUAACUAUACCGGUUUAAAGUUUUGUUUAUUAUCUACUAAUUCAGCCCUGAUUUGAUCAGCUACUCGAUAUUUAAUUUAUAUUGAAAUUAUACCAAAUAUACUUAUUUUGUUCGCAAAUCAAAUACAAAUAUUUGAAGGUUUUCCAGGCAGAAUUUAGUUGUAAAAGUUGGUUAUUUUUUUGGUCUUAAACGUGUUUAUUUUCUUUUUCUCUAACAAUAGGUGGC